UAACUGCGAGUGAAGAGGGAAGAGCUCAUCAUUGGAAUCUGGCAGUGUUGCACUGUCCGAGUUGUAGAUGAGGAGUAGUCCGUCUGGACUGCAUGGCGUCCAAGUACAAUAGGCCGUCAGUGGGACAUCAUAGAGGGUGACAAUCCCGUCCUUGAUGCCAAUGUGCAAGUCCGUUACGAUGGCUAUCUCAGAGAGUCGAGCAGUUUGGGAUUUGCUGCUUAAACAUGGGAGGUAGAUUCCUUCUAAAGCUAAAUACAGGCGAGAGACCGAUAGAGAACAAGUACCGCAAGGGAAAGAUGAAAUAGAACUCUGUGAAGGGAGUCAAAAGGCGUGAAAUUGUUGCGAGAGAAGCGAUUCAAGUCAGCGUAGCUAGGCCCAUCAAGCGUCUUCGCUUUGGACUGGCUUUGCCAGCGGUCUUGUCCUUAGAGACUUGACUUUGUAUAUGUGUCCAGCCUGGUAUGCACAGGUAGCCCCUCUGGGGCCAGUGGCACAGCUGGUGGAAUGGCUUGCAAUCGACCCGUCUUGAAACACGGACCAAGGAGUCUAACAUGUAUGCGAGUAUAAGGGUGGCAAACCCGUAUGCGCAAUGAAAGUGAU
Molecule: ribosomal RNA, 597 nt
Filed under: Cantharellus vaginatus
Lineage: Eukaryota; Fungi; Basidiomycota; Agaricomycetes; Cantharellales; Hydnaceae
Description: partial large subunit ribosomal RNA
Rfam family: Eukaryotic large subunit ribosomal RNA
Source: RNAcentral